AAUAUCAGACCAAUUUAUUCACUGUCUAAUUGAGGAUACAAGGAGUCUAGUUAAAAUUCAGUUUACUGUUGUUUAUGCAUACAAUACUGCAGUUCUUAGGGAACAACUGUGGAGAGAACUGAGAACAAUUCCUAUAAAUCAGCAAGAUGCAUGGCUUAUUAGUGGUGAUUUCAACUGUGUUCUAAGCUCUGAAGAUAGG
Molecule: long non-coding RNA, 199 nt
Filed under: Nicotiana benthamiana
Lineage: Eukaryota; Viridiplantae; Streptophyta; Magnoliopsida; Solanales; Solanaceae
Description: long non-coding RNA (NBEN_LNC028670)
Source: RNAcentral